Molecule: long non-coding RNA, 2707 nt
Organism: Oenanthe melanoleuca
Lineage: Eukaryota; Metazoa; Chordata; Aves; Passeriformes; Muscicapidae
Exons: 2
Source: RefSeq, a predicted model, not a curated record
UCAGCACAGCUGCACAGCCAGCUCUAAACUGUCACGAGUCCUGUUUCUGCUUCCUUUUUCUCAGAGUAAAUCUUGAGUCUCAAAUGCAAAAAGAGCCCCUGGCAGGCCUCCAUGUAAAAAUAUAACGAUAUAACUACUAUUUGUUAUUCAUAUAGGAGCAGAGGAGGGCCAUUGCUUUAUGACCAUGCAAUAAAACAGCACUGCUCCCCAUGUGCUUUGAAGCCCAGGACAUGAUCCAGUGGAGGUAGAAAAUGGGACUCCAGGCACAUAAAAGGGAUUGCUGCAGUGGAUCCCUUUGCAAAUACCAGACCUAAAUACACAACACACCUACAAAGCACAGGUACAGCUCCACAGUGGAAAAGGAGCCCAGCAUCCAGCUGCCUCCCUCAAGCAGAAGUGUUGCAGCAGAGGCAGCAGCACUCUGCCUCCCAUCCCAAAUGGAGCUGCCCCCCAGCAAGCCCAGCUGUCCUCAAGGAUGACACGGCUCUUCCAGGCUCUCACUUGCUCACACAGGGCUGAUCCAAAAAAGAUGUUGGCAGAAGAUGUUACAGACCUUUCAAAAUCUCUCUUCAUACUCUGGCACUUCCUCCUCUCCAUCCUCAGACAGGAAUUGCACAGGUCUGGACCUCAUUCCCCAGCUCUGGAGCCUAGCAGCAAGUCCUCCCAGUUACUCCUUCUAAAAACACUUACACCAAAGAAUUAAUUAACACUACAAAGUGAAAGUUGAUUAACACUACAAACUCUGAGCACCGUGUGCCAUGCACAAGGGUCACACACCCACUGCCCAGGCAGAGGAUGGGGUCCAGACUCCUCCUGGAAGCCCUAGUGGGUGAGGGGACAAGGCAUGUUAUCAGGAAAAGUAAUGGUUGUCUUUGGCAAAAAAGUCACAUAAUAUAAAUUUCUGUCCCUCUAAAUUCCUGAUAUGCAAGUCAUGGAAACAAAAAGACAUCGUUACUCUCCACUUCCAUGGAACUUUCAUCAGAAAAAUGGAAAGCACAUUUAAAAAAUAGGAAUAAGGACGUGGAGAGUCUUACUAAAGGUGUCUGAAAUCUCUGAGCACACCUGCCUGGCUGUGUUAGCACUGCUGGACCCAUGCUCUGGAGCUCAGCGAUGCUCAGGGACAAGGCAGUGCACCCACGGGGGGUUUUCUCCAGUCAGCAUUCACACAGCUGGAGCAAGGACACAGGAGGAAGUGCUGGUGGUCCUGAAUGCUUUGUUUGAGCAGCUGAGAGAUUUUUCUCCCAUGGUUUAUUGGAAAAGCAGAGUAGUGUGGCUGCUAACACACCACAAGGUCCCCACUGGGUGCUGAAGGUCUGCACCCAAGGGCGUGCCGGGGCAACUCUGACACGGCAGCCCGGCCUCUCUGGGACAGAAACCACCCUGUGCUGGACCUACAAGCACCCACAGCAAUCCUGACACUGCCCCCCGGGCCUGCCUGCCCAAACAACUCAGUAAGAACUCCCCCCUCCACACACCCAAGCAGAACCACACAUUUUUCCCAAGUGUUGAGCAAAUGUAACCUCUGUGUUUUAUACCUUUCACUCAUUGAUCAACGUGGUGUGUUUCUCUUUUGGACAAAUAGUCAUUACAUCUGAAAGUUUAUGGCUUGGCUUUGAAGUUAAUGUUCUCUGAGAUGAAGGAGAAAGUUCACACUUCUUCUAUUGCUUCCAGCCCUUCUGGCUGCACACCAGAUAAGAGAGUGAUGCCUUCAAUUUACAAGUGAUGACUAUUUUUGCAGGCAGAAAAGCUGAAAGACUUCUUAAUGUAAUAAUGGUUUGAAUAUUGCUAUAGUGCUCAGCAAAAUGCUGGAAAAGGAGGGAAGUGAGUUCCAGAAAACGUAUGGAUGCCUCAGACUGGCUAUUUCUCUAUUUACUGUCUCAUUUUCAUCUGAGGUUGCAUUUCCCUUCCUCCACUUUUUUGCUUUUGCAGCCACUCUGACCCAAGUUUGUCCACAAGCUGUCAUUUUCUGCAGGCAACCUUCCCGUGUGGAAGAAGAGCCUUCACAGCCAGGAAGUUUUCUUCUGCUUAACAUUAAGAGGUCUCUCCCUCUAAUUCUCCUUGAAUAGGUAAAGAAAAGGCAGCUUUAUGGCACACUCCAUUAACAGUAUAAGUUGGAGGGUGUUAAGGCAUCCAGUUCCUUCACACUUAUUUGGAAAUUGCAGCCUUGGUGUGACCUUUCAAGCCUCCUCCUUCCUACUGCAGCAUCAGCUCCUCCAGCCAUCACUGGGAGAAGGAUUUCAGGAGCUUUUAAGAGCAACCUGCAUAGAAUGCUUGGAGCCUGACUGUCACUGCCUGCAAGCCCCAGGGAGAGUAAAUAAGGCUGAAAGGGCUUUGGAGAGGGAUUGGGUCUUCCAGAGCUCCAUCAAGCCAGCUCUAGGAAGUCUCCAAAGAUGGCAGAGCCACCACCUGAGUAAAGGUGCCUGUGCUUGCUCACAUCCUGCUCUCCUGCCCACCAUGUCCCUCUAGACCUCUUCACUCAGAAGUGGCUUUUCCAUUUGACCCCACCCAUCACUGGACUGGACAAAAAAAGAGGUGCAAGGCAGACCUGUGUGUACCCCUCAGCAGGGGCUAUCUGAGCCCAUGCUAGUGAGAUGUGAAAUGUAGCUCUGACAAGAACUCCUGCAGAGUAUGCUCAGUAUUGCCAGCAUUUUGACACUGCUAAUGACUAGAUGCUUAUAUAAAUAAAUAAAUACCUUCUAAUAUGUGA